RNAcentral lists this ribosomal RNA (708 nucleotides) under uncultured fungus. RNAcentral describes it as "SSU rRNA". It matches the Rfam family "Eukaryotic small subunit ribosomal RNA", at positions 389 to 1098 of the family's 1831-position model. The record is from RNAcentral. Lineage: Eukaryota; Fungi.
AGGGAGCCUGAGAAACGGCUACCACANNNNNNGAAGGCAGCAGGCGCGCAAAUUACCCAAUCCCGACACGGGGAGGUAGUGACAAUAAAUAACAAUACGGGGCUCUUUCGGGUCUCGUAAUUGGAAUGAGUACAAUUUAAAUCCCUUAACGAGGAACAAUUGGAGGGCAAGUCUGGUGCCAGCAGCCGCGGUAAUUCCAGCUCCAAUAGCGUAUANNNAAGUUGUUGCAGUUAAAAAGCUCGUAGUUGAAUUUCGGGGUUAGUAGGUUGGUCAUGCCUCUGGUAUGUACUGGUCUCACUGAUUCCUCCUUCCUUAUGAACCGUAAUGCCAUUAAUUUGGUGUUGCGGGGAAUUUGGACUGUUACUUUGAAAAAAUUAGAGUGUUUAAAGCAAGCUAACGCUUGAAUACAUUAGCAUGGAAUAAUGAAAUAGGACGUUCGAUCUUAUUUUGUUGGUUUCUAGGAUUGACGUAAUGAUUAAUAGGGAUAGUUGGGGGCAUUAGUAUUCAAUUGUCAGAGGUGAAAUUCUUGGAUUUAUUGAAGACUAACUACUGCGAAAGCAUUUGCCAAGGAUGUUUUCAUUAAUCAAGAACGAAAGUUAGGGGAUCGAAGACGAUCAGAUACCGUCGUAGUCUUAACCAUAAACUAUGCCGACUAGGGAUCGGAUGAUGUUAAUUUUUUAAUGACUCAUUCGGCGCCUUACGGGAAAC